This 63-nucleotide transfer RNA is filed under the name Platynereis dumerilii (Dumeril's clam worm). RNAcentral's name for it is "tRNA-Gln". Lineage: Eukaryota; Metazoa; Annelida; Polychaeta; Phyllodocida; Nereididae. The record is from RNAcentral.
UAUAAUAUAGUGUACACUGCACACAGGAUUUUGAUACCUGAAGAAGACCCCCUCUUAUUAUAA